Molecule: long non-coding RNA, 380 nt
Filed under: Panax ginseng (ginseng)
Lineage: Eukaryota; Viridiplantae; Streptophyta; Magnoliopsida; Apiales; Araliaceae
Description: long non-coding RNA (PGIN_LNC004097)
Source: RNAcentral
UUUCAAAUACAACCAGCUUCAAUCUCGACGCUCACAACAAGAUGCACUGUACCAACCCGGCAAUAACAUCGGGUAGACAGGCACACCUCAAAGGUGACAAUGAGGACCUUCAACAAUUGCAGCAGUCCAAUCUCAGCGAAGUCUGAGCAACGUCUGCUUUAUCAGUCCAAUCCGGUGAUAACACCGGUGAGGGGCAACAUCAUCAUCUCGUCAACACGAUGCCACAUCACCUCGUCUUAACAUCUCUACGCAACAAUGUCCCACAAGACUAACCAAUCCCGAGUGACUAUUGUGCGGGGUAACUGAUGAAAGUUGAAGCUUGAAGAUCGGAGGGCAUCGUCCCAUCUUCGAUGACUUCAUACAAACUCUAGUCCCAUGCC